GAGAUAUACCUGCUGGCGCGCGUACCACGGGUGGGUGCUGCUAUGGUGACCAGUGAGCUGAGAUAAGGCGGGUAUUGUUUUAUUGUCUUGUCAAGUAUUUCAAUAAAGCGUUACUUUACUUCCAUGUUUGUUCAGUACAUAUUUUAUUUGUAUGUAAUUCCCUCCUUUGUGCUCAGCCCAGCAUUCCCUUACCAAGGAGACAUUUGCCUUCAUCAAUGAUGCUGUCUGUUUACAUCACAAAAUGUAGUUGGACGUGUUUUGGAAGUAUCAAUUUGAUGCAAUGCCUUGCUUAUGUUGUCAUUGUCCUUUUACUAUAAUUUAAUGUUCACAUUUUUUAUAUUGAUCCCAAAUUAGCCACCCUUUGCCCUUGCAUUGGGGACUUCAAGUGAAGCAUGAUUAUUGAGUAUUGACCCUACCACAAUACAUUGACAGAGAGAGAUGCAGAUAGAUUAUGCACUUAGACAUGGAUGUUGAUUAAGGCUAUCCUCCGCACCUCUCUGAUUCAGAGGGGUUGGGUUAAAUGCAGAAGACACAUUUCAGUUGAAUGCAUUCAGUUGUACAACUGACUAGGUAUCCCCCUUUCCUUUAUUUAUCCCCUACACUGUUAUUUAUUAUGGAGCAUGUUACAGGCCAAAAAGAAAGCAACUUAACCUAAGGCCACACCCAGUAAAGUUAUCUAGUGCAGAACAGUAGGCAUACCAACAUCACCUAGAAAGAAAUCAUCUUAAAUUGUGACUAUAUUACAAAGGUACAUUGCAUCCUUGUGUGACAUUCCUUCUUUCCCAGCUCAAUAGGAAACAAUGGCGGACAACAGUGACCUAAAAGCCCAGCUAGAGCGCAAGAAGCAGCGGCUAGCUCAGAUCAGGGAGGAGAAGGAGAGGAAACAGGAGGAGAGGAAGGAGGUAAGGAGGAAAAAUACAGAGACGCAUCAGAAGGCUGAAGCUGCCUCCGUGGACUAGGACCGUGACUUGGACCGGAAGCGCAGAGAGACAGAGGCGGAAUCUCCCCAGGACCACCACUAGUCCCCAUCCCCAUGUCCCCAUCCAAAUGAGUGAGCCGACACAGCACCCCCAGUGAGACGAGAAGCCAGGACUCAGCUGAUGGGGCAUCAGCCGGCAGGCGCAGGAUACAUAGACUGGGGGCGUCUAAGAUCACACAGGUAGACUUCCUACCCAGAUAGGUGGUGUCGUACUGCAAAGAGACUCAGACGGCCAUCACCCAUCUAUCUGAGGGUGAGUGUGUAAGGUGCGCCUGUGUGCGUGCCUGUGAGUAUUUUAUCAUUACCGUUCUCUCAAUUGCUCCCUCUAUAACCUUCUCUCUAAAAAAUACAUACACUUUUAAAUGUUUUUAUGAUUCCAUUAAAACCAUCAAAAGCAGAGUCCACAUUAAUCUGAUCGUCAUUACUGCUGUAGUGUGCUUUACCACCUGCUUUGAAAACAUGGAGCACUUUAAAUCCAUUUGACUGGCACAGCCCUCCAUUUCCUGAGAGAGAGA
Long non-coding RNA from Oncorhynchus kisutch (coho salmon), 1494 nucleotides. RefSeq lists it as uncharacterized. The record is from RefSeq and is a predicted model, not a curated record. NCBI's taxonomy places the organism in Eukaryota, Metazoa, Chordata, Actinopteri, Salmoniformes, Salmonidae. The transcript is spliced from 4 exons.